RNAcentral lists this ribosomal RNA (425 nucleotides) under uncultured soil bacterium. RNAcentral's name for it is "bacterial SSU rRNA". It matches the Rfam family "Bacterial small subunit ribosomal RNA", at positions 26 to 449 of the family's 1533-position model. The record is from RNAcentral.
AGAUUGAACGCUGGCGGCAUGCCUUACACAUGCAAGUCGAACGGCAGCACGGGAGCAAUCCUGGUGGCGAGUGGCGAACGGGUGAGUAAUACAUCGGAACGUGCCCAAUCGUGGGGGAUAACGCAGCGAAAGCUGUGCUAAUACCGCAUAAGAUCUACGGAUGAAAGCAGGGGAUCGCAAGACCUUGCGCGAAUGGAGCGGCCGAUGGCAGAUUAGGUAGUUGGUGAGGUAAAGGCUCACCAAGCCUUCGAUCUGUAGCUGGUCUGAGAGGACGACCGAGCCACACUGGGACUGAGACACGGCCCAGACUCCGUAGGGAGCAGCAGUGGGAAUUUGGACAGUGGACGAAGCCUGAUCCGAGCAAUCGCCGCGUGACGAGGAAGGAGGUCCGUUACGGUUAGUAAACGUUGUACGUUUUGUAACGG